UAAAAAAUAAAAGUAGCUCGAUGUGG
RNAcentral lists this non-coding RNA (26 nucleotides) under Mus musculus (house mouse). Lineage: Eukaryota; Metazoa; Chordata; Mammalia; Rodentia; Muridae. The record is from RNAcentral.